This is a non-coding RNA of Nicotiana tabacum (common tobacco), 1377 nucleotides long. NCBI's taxonomy places the organism in Eukaryota, Viridiplantae, Streptophyta, Magnoliopsida, Solanales, Solanaceae. The record is from RefSeq and is a predicted model, not a curated record.
UACCUCUCCCAUCUCUCUCUAAUGAAAACCCUAGCCGCCCUUAUAACCCUUGCCGUCUCCGCCAUGGUCCAGGGGUGGGUUAAGGCGGUGGACCACCUCCAAACCCUACCAAAUUAACACCAUAUAAUCACCUCACCCUCUUCUUCCCAUAUAUCCUAACCAUUUCUUUCAAAGAAGCCUAGAACUUCUCGAAUCUAAGAUCCAAAACUCUAACUUUUCCAUUUCCAAUUUCGGGCAGUUUCUGGGCCAUUUGAACCCAACACUUCCAUUAUUCAACUGCUUUUGAUAAGAGCAAUGUUCAUCUAAAGUUCAUUUUUACCCCAUAAAAAUUGGUCGAGUUUGUGACUGGUCCCUUCCAAAAUGAGCCUUAGUUUCAUGAUUCCAGCCUUUAAACUGCCUGAUGAUUGCUUCUCUUUCUGGGGUUUUAUUGGAUUUUCCUCUUGGCCACUAGACCUAUAUUUAGUCUCAGCUUUUGUUUCCAGAAGUAGGUAUGUUGAUAUCUUAUCUAUAGCCCCAUUUUGAAGUAUAUGAAUGGAAAUAUGAACUGCUAUUUUUGUUGAAAAUACAUGUUCUUCUAUUAAGUUUUCUUCUUCUUCUUUGAAACAUUCUCUGAAAGUUUACCCUAUGUUUCUCAGUUGAUGAAUGUUCCCUUGGUAUCUUUGUUAGUUCACAAUGUUAUGGAGUAUAGUCUCUUAGCUGCUGAAUACUUUUUUUUUCAUAAAAAAGACCAGGUUGGUUGAUUUGUUUUGCUUUGUUGUUGUUCCUUUAUUCCUAUUAAGUUUUUCGAAUCAGAAUAUCACCAUGCUUGGUUUCAGGUUUGGUUUGAAAUAGUUUAAUGAUAUGGCCUUUGUUGAUACUUGUUGUCAUUUAAUCUUAAGCAUGCUACUUUAAUUUCUGCCUGAUAUUGGUAUUAGAUAAACAAUAGCUAGGAACUUCAGUGAAUAUUUAAGGCAGUCUAGAAACAAAGAUGUGAAUCUGAUCACUGGUUGGUCAGAUUUGCACACUAGCUGAUAAUGGAAUCAGCUCAAAGCUAUGGAGUAUGAUGACAUAUUCUGCCUGCUGCCUUGAUGAAAAGAAACACAUGGAUAGCAUAUUUUGAAGUCUUGUAAUUUAUAUACAAUGAAGUUAUUCAAUUUAUGGAACAAAAGUUUGUAUAAACAAAUAUUUGUAGUUGCUUUAUUCAUUCCCUUUCCCUUCAUAGAAAAUAACAUUACAUUAGUAAUUAGAAUGAUAUUUAUAUCCUGUAUCAAAAGUGAAACUGCACCCUUGCCAUAUACUGUUCUUCCUUGUAGUAAUACUAUUUCUGGAAGUAAAAUAACGUACAUUUCUUGUCAAUCAUCUUUUAAAAAGGAAGCAUGAAGUGUUGAUUUUUGAAAA